This 484-nucleotide ribosomal RNA is filed under the name uncultured bacterium. RNAcentral describes it as "partial 16S ribosomal RNA". It matches the Rfam family "Bacterial small subunit ribosomal RNA", at positions 30 to 507 of the family's 1533-position model. The record is from RNAcentral.
AUUGAACGCUGGCGGCAUGCCUUACACAUGCAAGUCGAACGGCAGCGCGGACUUCGGUCUGGCGUCGCGUUGCGAACGGGUGAGUAAUACAUCGGAACGUACCCUAUUUUUGAGAAUAACUAGUCGAAGGAUUACCUGAUACCGCAUACGACCUGAGGGUGAACGUGGGGGACCACAAGUCAUCGCGCGGCAGGAUCGCCCGAUGACUGAUUAGCUAGUUGGUGGGGUAAAGGCGCACCAAGGCGACGAUCCGUAGCUGGUCUGAGAGGCCGAUCAGCCACACUGGAACUGAGACACGGUCCAGACUCCUACGGGAGGCAGCAGUGGGGAAUCUUGGACAAUGGGCGCAAGCCUGAUCCAGCAAUGCCGCGUGUGUGAAGAAGGCCUUCGGGUCGUAAAGCACUUUUGUUCGGAAAGAAAACGUGCUGGUGAAUACCUGGCGUGGAUGACGGUACCGGAAGAAUAAGCACCGGCUAACUACGUG